RNAcentral lists this ribosomal RNA (299 nucleotides) under uncultured bacterium. Its description in RNAcentral is "partial 16S ribosomal RNA". It matches the Rfam family "Bacterial small subunit ribosomal RNA", at positions 28 to 322 of the family's 1533-position model. The record is from RNAcentral.
GAUGAACGCUAGCGGCAGGCUUAAUACAUGCAAGUCGAGGGGCAGCAGGGGUAGCAAUACCCGCUGGCGACCGGCAAACGGGUGCGGAACACGUACACAACCUUCCUUUAAGUGGGGGAUAGCCCAGAGAAAUUUGGAUUAAUACCCCGUAAUAUUAUUUAGUGGCAUCAUUUAGGUAAUUAAAGCUCCGGCGCUUAGAGAUGGGUGUGCGGCUGAUUAGGUAGUUGGUGAGGGUAACGGCCCACCAAGCCUUCGAUCAGUAACUGGUGUGAGAGCACGACCAGUCACACGGGCACUGA